RNAcentral lists this long non-coding RNA (274 nucleotides) under Carica papaya (papaya). Its description in RNAcentral is "long non-coding RNA (CPAP_LNC010250)". The record is from RNAcentral. Lineage: Eukaryota; Viridiplantae; Streptophyta; Magnoliopsida; Brassicales; Caricaceae.
AGGAAAUGGAGAAAAGAGAAAGACCAAUUCAGGUGGGCCAAAACCCAUACGGGUUUAGGCUGGGCCAACCCGAUCCAAGACCCGACCGGAUGUUAACCCGACUUGGUCAAUAGUUGACCGGUCAAUAAUCAAUGGUUGACCGAUCAACGGUCAACAUUGACUUUGACCGGUCAACAACCAUCAUUUUGACUAAAAAAGUUUUUGUUUUAAAUGUAUUCUUAGCUAUUUUGUGGUCAAUUUUCUUCCUAAUUUGUUUAAAUUUGGUUUUAGUUUU